UACCUCAAGGCUUGGUUCCUUCGGCUCUUAAAGUGUGAUUUUACUAGCAGCUGAGGUCCUUCCGUCUACCUGGUGAGACUGGUUUGGCCAGGAAUUGGCAACAGACCACUACAAGCUGGGCUGUUUUCCUCUCACCCUGCAAAUCAGUAUCUGGUCUAGGACAGACUGCUUCUGGUGACCAGUCAAAUGAAUCCACUCCAUGGAGCUCAGGAGUCACCCACCUGGGAGCAGUUGGCACUGGAGCAAUUGGGAGUCAAGAGGAAGCAUCAUCUCCUGCAGACUCUGUCUGUGCUGUUAGAUGAAGCAAAGUGGCUACAGCUCCCCCAAGAGAGGAGAAGGAAGAUGAGGGGUGAGAGGAGGAACACGUGUCUCCACCUACCUGCAUCCUUGGCAUCCUUCCCCAAGAGGGUGAAGAAAUGAUACUGUGGCCCUUCCAGUGUGUGCCAAGGUGACUUUGACCCCCCUGGUCCAGCUCUGCCAGGAACAUGGCCAAAGUGUGAUAUUCACGUGUGGAAACCUUCCAGGGCUCCCUGCUGUCGCCCGGAUGAGCUCAGAAUCGUUGAUACCCUGAGUUCAAGUCGCUCACGUUGACUUUUCCACCUUUCUCCAGCCUCACAGCCCACCUUUCCCAGAGUGUCUCUGCUCCCAAGAAACUGGUCUGUUUGUCAAGUCCCCAAAACACCCUGCCCAGUUUCACCUCUGUAGUCCCCUUUCCUGGAACACUCGUCUCUACUUUCUUCUUUGCCUGUCCAAACCCUGCCACCCUUCAAAGCCUCACGGAGUCCCCAGGA
Molecule: long non-coding RNA, 791 nt
Organism: Choloepus didactylus (southern two-toed sloth)
Lineage: Eukaryota; Metazoa; Chordata; Mammalia; Pilosa; Megalonychidae
Exons: 3
Source: RefSeq, a predicted model, not a curated record